GAAGCAAGCGAUACUCGUGAAACACUAUUGAAAUACUUUUGAAACACUAAUGAAAUACUUUUGAAACACUAAUUAAAUGCUUAUGAAAUACUAAUUAAAUUGACUUGACAAAGAAAAGCCAGGAAAAUGUGUGAAGGAACUUGACUGUAAAGAACUGUAGACACAAUACAGUCCAGGUUAAAGCAGGGGUGUCAAACUCAUCCCAUGAAGAAAAUGAAUAUGUUUUAUUGUCCUACACCAGGUAGGUGCAGAUGUUUUAUUGUCCUACACCAGGUAGGUGCAGAUGUUUUAUUGUCCUACACCAGGUAGGUGCAGAUGUUUUAUUGUCCCACACCAGGUAGGUGCAGAUGUUUUAUUGUCCCACACCAGGUAGGUGCAGAUGUUUUAUUGUCCCACACCAGGUAGGUGCAGAUGUUUUAUUGUCCUACACCAGGUAGGUGCAGAUGUUUUAUUGUCCCACACCAGGUAGGUGCAGAUGUUUUAUUGCCCUACACCAGGUAGGUGCAGAUGUUUUAUUGUCCCACACCAGGUAGGUGCAGAUGUUUUAUUGUCCUACACCAGGUAGGUGCAGAUGUUUUAUUGUCCCACACCAGGUAGGUGCAGAUGUUUUAUUGUCCCACACCAGGUAGGUGCAGAUGUUUUAUUGUCCCACACCAGGUAGGUGCAGAUGUUUUAUUGUCCCACACCAGGUAGGUGCAGAUGUUUUAUUGUCCCACACCAGGUAGGUGCAGAUGUUUUAUUGUCCCACACCAGGUAGGUGCAGAUGUUUUAUUGUCCCACACCAGGUAGGUGCAGAUGUUUUAUUGUCCCACACCAGGUAGGUGCAGAUGUUUUAUUGUCCCACACCAGGUAGGUGCAGAUGUUUUAUUGUCCCACACCAGGUAGGUGCAGAUGUUUUAUUGUCCCACACCAGGUAGGUGCAGAUGUUUUAUUGUCCUACACCAGGUAGGUGCAGAUGUUUUAUUGUCCUACACCAGGUAGGUGCAGAUGUUUUAUUGUCCCACACCAGGUAGGUGCAGAUGUUUUAUUGUCCCACACCAGGUAGGUGCAGAUGUUUUAUUGUCCCACACCAGGUAGGUGCAGAUGUUUUAUUGUCCCACACCAGGUAGGUGCAGAUGUUUUAUUGUCCCACACCAGGUAGGUGCAGAUGUUUUAUUGUCCUACACCAGGUAGGUGCAGAUGUUUUAUUGUCCCACACCAGGUAGGUGCAGAUGUUUUAUUGUCCCACACCAGGUAGGUGCAGAUGUUUUAUUGUCCCACACCAGGUAGGUGCAGAUGUUUUAUUGUCCCACACCAGGUAGGUGCAGAUGUUUUAUUGUCCCACACCAGGUAGGUGCAGAUGUUUUAUUGUCCCACACCAGGUAGGUGCAGUGACAUGUUGUUUUACAGGCUCCGUAAUAGUAGCGCAGCGCCACUGGAGCAAAUUAGGGUUAAGUGCCUUGUUCAAGGCCACAUCGACAGAUUGGUCACCUUGUCGGGGAUUUGAACCAGCGACCUUUCGGUUUCUGGCCCAACUCUCUUCAGACAGUGACGUUCAUUUAUCAAUCAAGUACGAGGGAGGGAGGAGAUGAAACCCACAGACACUCAGCCAGGUUAUUGAG
Oncorhynchus keta (chum salmon) is the source of this 1601-nucleotide long non-coding RNA. RefSeq lists it as uncharacterized. The record is from RefSeq and is a predicted model, not a curated record. The transcript has 3 exons. NCBI's taxonomy places the organism in Eukaryota, Metazoa, Chordata, Actinopteri, Salmoniformes, Salmonidae.